RNAcentral lists this ribosomal RNA (253 nucleotides) under uncultured bacterium. RNAcentral describes it as "partial 16S ribosomal RNA". It matches the Rfam family "Bacterial small subunit ribosomal RNA", at positions 524 to 776 of the family's 1533-position model. The record is from RNAcentral.
UACGUAGGGGGCAAGCGUUGUUCGGAAUUACUGGGCGUAAAGCGCACGUAGGCGGCUUUGUAAGUUAGAGGUGAAAGCCCGGGGCUCAACUCCGGAAUUGCCUUUAAGACUGCAUCGCUAGAAUUGUGGAGAGGUAAGUGGAAUUCCGAGUGUAGAGGUGAAAUUCGUAGAUAUUCGGAAGAACACCAGUGGCGAAGGCGACUUACUGGACACAUAUUGACGCUGAGGUGCGAAAGCGUGGGGAGCAAACAGG